Molecule: transfer RNA, 72 nt
Filed under: bacterium
Lineage: Bacteria
Description: tRNA-Glu
Rfam family: tRNA
About the family: Transfer RNA (tRNA) molecules are approximately 80 nucleotides in length.
Source: RNAcentral
GGCCCGUUCGUCUAGUGGUUAGGACAUCAGGUUUUCAUCCUGAAAACAGGGGUUCAAUUCCCCUACGGGCUA